CUAGAUUUUGACCCGCGCUUUUAAAGCGCGGGAUAAUAUUUUGAUUAAAUUUUUUUAUUUAACAGUUACUAAGUUAUGGUCUGAAUUUUAUUUUAUUUGAGUUUUGACAUACUUAACCGAGAGUAAUUUAUUUUAACUUUUCAUAGUGAUAGGCAUUCAGGUUUAAAGUUCGUCUCAGUUAGGGUUAUUCAGUUUUUAAGUUAUUGGGGUUGGGGUGUUAGGACCCGUUUAGGAGAACCAUACAUUUUUUGAAUUAGAUCAAUUCGGGCGAUCUGUAGUUCGAGUCGGGUUUUUAUUUUUUAUUAAAACCGAAGUAAGCCGAAUUAAAAUAGUUAGGCUUUAAUUUGGAUUUAAAGCAAAAAAUACAAAAAACGCAAAAAAAAACCCUGAGUUAAACUGAAAACCAGGUAAUUCAUGUAAUUUGGGAGGAGGGGGGGGGUGGAUAUUUUUUUUGGUAAAUUAUAUUCUAUACAGAUAUAAAUUAAUAUUAUAUUAUGUUUAAUAUUUGGAUACCCGUUUGAUUUUCAGUUUGGUUUUAGCUCUUUGGAUUUAGAAAAAUGGGAACCAUUCACAUUUCUGUAAAUCACGGUUACAAAUGGGAUGAUUAAAUAAUAAAUAAUGGGAUGAUUAAAUAAUAAAUACUUUCUCAAUAUAUAGUAUAGAUUAU
RNAcentral lists this long non-coding RNA (667 nucleotides) under Brassica napus (rape). RNAcentral's name for it is "long non-coding RNA (BNAP_LNC005047)". The record is from RNAcentral. Lineage: Eukaryota; Viridiplantae; Streptophyta; Magnoliopsida; Brassicales; Brassicaceae.